Molecule: ribosomal RNA, 253 nt
Filed under: uncultured bacterium
Lineage: Bacteria
Description: partial 16S ribosomal RNA
Rfam family: Bacterial small subunit ribosomal RNA
Source: RNAcentral
UACGUAGGGGGCUAGCGUUGUCCGGAAUCAUUGGGCGUAAAGCGCGUGUAGGCGGCCCGGUAAGUCAGCUGUGAAAGCCGGGGGCUCAACCCUCGAAAGCCGGUGGAGACUGUCGGGCUAGAGUACGGAAGAGGCGAGUGGAAUUCCUGGUGUAGCGGUGGAAUGCGCAGAUAUCAGGAGGAACACCAACGGCGAAGGCAGCUCGCUGGGACUGUACUGACGCUGAGACGCGAAAGCGUGGGGAGCAAACAGG